UACGUAGGGUGCGAGCGUUGUCCGGAAUUAUUGGGCGUAAAGAGCUCGUAGGCGGUUUGUCGCGUCGACUGUGAAAACCCGAGGCUUAACCUCGUGCCUGCAGUCGAUACGGGCAGACUAGAGUUCGGUAGGGGAGACUGGAAUUCCUGGUGUAGCGGUGAAAUGCGCAGAUAUCAGGAGGAACACCGGUGGCGAAGGCGGCGACCUGGGUUGACAUUGACGCUGAGGCGCGAAAGCGUGGGGAGCAAACAGG
This 253-nucleotide ribosomal RNA is filed under the name uncultured bacterium. RNAcentral's name for it is "partial 16S ribosomal RNA". It matches the Rfam family "Bacterial small subunit ribosomal RNA", at positions 524 to 776 of the family's 1533-position model. The record is from RNAcentral.